Molecule: transfer RNA, 71 nt
Organism: Puccinia triticina 1-1 BBBD Race 1
Lineage: Eukaryota; Fungi; Basidiomycota; Pucciniomycetes; Pucciniales; Pucciniaceae
Rfam family: tRNA
About the family: Transfer RNA (tRNA) molecules are approximately 80 nucleotides in length.
Source: Rfam
GGCUUUGUAGCUUAGUGGUAAAGCAGGCACCUCCAGUUAGCCCAACCUGGGUUCAAGUCCUGGUGGAGACA